GAUGAAGAACGCAGCGAAAUGCGAUAAGUAGUGUGAAUUGCAGAAUUCAGUGAAUCAUCGAAUCUUUGAACGCACAUUGCGCCCCUUGGUAUUCCAUGGGGCAUGCCUGUUCGAGCGUCAUUUGUACCUUCAAGCUUUGCUUGGUGUUGGGUGUUUGUCUCGCCUUUGCGUGUAGACUCGCCUUAAAAUAAUUGGCAGCCGGCGUAUUGAUUUCGGAGCGCGGUACAUCUCGCGCUUUGCACUCAUAACGACAGCGUCCAAAAGUACAUUUUACACUCUUGACCUCGGAUCAGGUAGGGAUACCCGCUGAACUUAAGCAUAUCAAUAAGCGGAGGA
This 336-nucleotide unclassified non-coding RNA is filed under the name soil metagenome. Its description in RNAcentral is "partial contains 5.8S ribosomal RNA, internal transcribed spacer 2, and large subunit ribosomal RNA". The stretch from base 1 to 120 matches the Rfam family "5.8S ribosomal RNA", at positions 35 to 154 of the family's 154-position model. The record is from RNAcentral.